RNAcentral lists this ribosomal RNA (490 nucleotides) under uncultured bacterium. Its description in RNAcentral is "bacterial SSU rRNA". It matches the Rfam family "Bacterial small subunit ribosomal RNA", at positions 30 to 507 of the family's 1533-position model. The record is from RNAcentral.
AUUGAACGCUGGCGGCAGGCCUAACACAUGCAAAUCGGACGGUAGCACAGAGGAGCUUGCUCCUUGGGUGACGAGUGGCGGACGGGUGAGUAAUGUUUGGGGAUUUGCCCGAUAGAGGGGGAUAACCCCUGGAAACGGUGGCUAAUUCCGCAUAAAAUCGCAAGACCAAAGAGGGGGGCCUUCGGGCCUCUCCCUAUUGGAUGAACCCCGAUGGGAUUAGCUAGUAGGCGGGGUAAUGGCCCCCCUAGGCGACGAUCCCUAGCUGGUUUGAGAGGAUGACCAGCCCCCCUGGAACUGAGACACGGUCCAGACUCCUUCGGGAGGCAGCAGUGGGGAAUAUUGCCCAAUGGGCGCAAGCCUGAUGCAGCCAUGCCGCGUGUAUUAAGAAGGCCUUCGGGUUGUAAAGUACUUUCAGCGGGGAGGAAGGCGGUGCGGUUAAUUACCGCGUCGAUUGACCUUUUAAGGGGAAGAAGCCCCGGCUCACUCCGUG